Molecule: small RNA, 186 nt
Filed under: Pan troglodytes (chimpanzee)
Lineage: Eukaryota; Metazoa; Chordata; Mammalia; Primates; Hominidae
Description: processed transcript
Source: RNAcentral
GAGGAGUUCGAUAACACGUGCUGCGCAGAGAAGAGGAAAAAACUCUGGGACCUACUGGAGAAGCCCAAUUCCUCUGUGGCUGCCAAGGAAAUGAGAAUUAUAACAGAGGCAACCAUGAAGAGCUGUUAGGAGAUGCCCCUAAUGUAAAGAGCCUAGCCCAGCGCCUGACUCAUGGGAAGCAUUCAG